GAUGAACGCUAGCUACAGGCUUAACACAUGCAAGUCGAGGGGAAACGCCAUCGAAAGCUUGCUUUUGAUGGGCGUCGACCGGCGCACGGGUGAGUAACGCGUAUCCAACCUGCCCAUCACUUGGGAAUAACCUUGCGAAAGUAAGACUAAUACCCAAUGAUAUCCCACGAAGGCAUCGGAAUGGGAUUAAAGAUUUAUCGGUGAUGGAUGGGGAUGCGUCUGAUUAGCUUGUUGGCGGGGUAACGGCCCACCAAGGCAACGAUCAGUAGGGGUUCUGAGAGGAAGGUCCCCCACAUUGGAACUGGGACACGGUCCAAACUCCUACGGGAGGCAGCAGUGAGGAAUAUUGGUCAAUGGGCGAGAGCCUGAACCAGCCAAGUAGCGUGCAGGAAGACGGCCCUAUGGGUUGUAAACUGCUUUUAUAAGGGAAUAAAGUGGGUCACGUGUGACUUUUUGCAUGUACCUUAUGAAUAAGGACCGGCUAAUUCCGUG
RNAcentral lists this ribosomal RNA (492 nucleotides) under uncultured bacterium. RNAcentral describes it as "partial 16S ribosomal RNA". It matches the Rfam family "Bacterial small subunit ribosomal RNA", at positions 28 to 507 of the family's 1533-position model. The record is from RNAcentral.